AGCAGCCGCGGUAAUUCCGGCUCCAAUAGCGUAUAUUAAAGUUGCUGCAGUUAAAAAGCUCGUAGUUGAAUUUCGGGACUAAUAUGUCGGUCGUGCCUCGGUACGUACUGGUAUUUUGGUUUCUCCCUUCUGACGAACCUUGGUGUCAUUAAUUUGGUGUCUUGGGGAAAUCAGGACUGUUACUUUGAAAAAAUUUAGAGUGUUUAAAGCAGGCUCACGCUUGAAUACAUUAGCAUGGAAUAAUGAAAUAGGACGUUUGAUUCUAUUUUGUUGGUUUCUAGGAUCGACGUAAUGAUUAAUAGGGAUAGUUGGGGGCAUUAGUAUUCAAUUGUCAGAGGUGAAAUUCUUGGAUUUAUUGAAGACUAACUACUGCGAAAGCAUUUGCCAAGGAUGUUUUCAUUAAUCAAGAACGAAAGUUAGGGGAUCGAAGACGAUCAGAUACCGUCGUAGUCUUAACCAUAAACUAUGCCGACUAGGGAUCGGAUGAUGUAAUUUUUUAAUGACUCAUUCGGCGCCUUAC
Molecule: ribosomal RNA, 520 nt
Filed under: uncultured Glomus
Lineage: Eukaryota; Fungi; Glomeromycota; Glomeromycetes; Glomerales; Glomeraceae
Description: SSU rRNA
Rfam family: Eukaryotic small subunit ribosomal RNA
Source: RNAcentral